GCCAGGCACAGUGGUAUACACCUGUAAUCCUAGUGACUUGGGAGGCUGAGACAGGAGGAUCAAUAGUUCGAGGCCAGCCUGGACAACUUAGUGAGACCCUGUCUCAA
Molecule: small RNA, 107 nt
Filed under: Marmota monax (woodchuck)
Lineage: Eukaryota; Metazoa; Chordata; Mammalia; Rodentia; Sciuridae
Source: RNAcentral